RNAcentral lists this ribosomal RNA (301 nucleotides) under uncultured bacterium. Its description in RNAcentral is "partial 16S ribosomal RNA". It matches the Rfam family "Bacterial small subunit ribosomal RNA", at positions 509 to 807 of the family's 1533-position model. The record is from RNAcentral.
CAGUAGCCGCGGGAACACGAAGGGGGCUAGCGUUGCUCGGAAUUACUGGGCGUAAAGGGCGCGUAGGCGGACAUUUAAGUCAGGGGUGAAAUCCCGGGGCUCAACCUCGGAACUGCCUUUGAUACUGGGUGUCUUGAGUAUGAGAGAGGUGUGUGGAACUCCGAGUGUAGAGGUGAAAUUCGUAGAUAUUCGGAAGAACACCAGUGGCGAAGGCGACACACUGGCUCAUUACUGACGCUGAGGCGCGAAAGCGUGGGGAGCAAACAGGAUUAGAUACCCGUGUAGUCCCUGUCUCUUAUAC